GCCGCACUGGCCCAACUGGCAGAGGCGCUGAGCUCAGACCUCAGAGGAUCUUGGUUCGAAUCCAAGGUGUGGCA
RNAcentral lists this transfer RNA (74 nucleotides) under Prosthecobacter debontii. RNAcentral describes it as "tRNA_Leu_CAG". It matches the Rfam family "tRNA". Rfam says of the family: Transfer RNA (tRNA) molecules are approximately 80 nucleotides in length. The record is from RNAcentral. RNAcentral also lists the same sequence under 2 other names. Lineage: Bacteria; Pseudomonadati; Verrucomicrobiota; Verrucomicrobiia; Verrucomicrobiales; Verrucomicrobiaceae.